AGCCCGCCCUAGUGCCCAGCGAGGCCUGCACCUCCGGGGCUUCACAGAAACCUCGCCCCCGUCCCCGAGCCGCUGUGGGGGCCGCCCCCGGCCUGGCGACGGAGCACAAGCCCGGCUGCUCCAAAACCGCCAGGCUAAGGGGGAUGGGAGAGAGCCAGGCCGCAGGGGGAUAAUGGACGAGCAAGUUGGGGCAAGGCUCUACUUUCUUCUGGUUCCUCCCAGUGAAAAUAACCAUUUAUCUCUUCCUCCUCAAAGCUUGGAGAUAGAGUAUCUCACUACCCUUCUCUUUGGCACCUCACAGCCACAGACUCUGGAAGAGUACAGUUUUGGAGAUAAGCCAAUUACCACUUCUGGCUCCUGAACGGAAUACAACAGUUGGACAUGGAGGACAGCCAUAGCAACUCUGCAGGACGCUGAAAGUCCCCGCUGGACUCCAUCAGGCUUGAUGGCAAUGAAAGUGCGCUCAGAAAUGGAUGCCAUCGUCCUAGAAGAGGAGAAAAAGGGAC
Molecule: long non-coding RNA, 506 nt
Organism: Gopherus evgoodei (Goodes thornscrub tortoise)
Lineage: Eukaryota; Metazoa; Chordata; Testudines; Testudinidae
Exons: 4
Source: RefSeq, a predicted model, not a curated record